ACGUAGGGUGCAAGCGUUGUUCGGAAUUACUGGGCGUAAAGGGCGCGUAGGCGGGCCUGUAUGUCGAUUGUGAAAGCCCCGGGCUUAACCUGGGAAUUGCAGUCGAAACUGCAGGUCUUGAAUGCCUGAGGGGAUGGCGGAAUUCCCGGUGUAGAAGUGAAAUUCGUAGAUAUCGGGAAGAACACCUGAGGCGAAGGCGGCUGUCUGGCGGUGCAUUGACGCUGAGGCGCGAAAGCGUGGGGAGCAAACAGGA
This 253-nucleotide ribosomal RNA is filed under the name uncultured prokaryote. RNAcentral's name for it is "partial 16S ribosomal RNA". It matches the Rfam family "Bacterial small subunit ribosomal RNA", at positions 525 to 777 of the family's 1533-position model. The record is from RNAcentral.